RNAcentral lists this long non-coding RNA (484 nucleotides) under Gossypium barbadense (sea-island cotton). RNAcentral describes it as "long non-coding RNA (GBAR_LNC015993)". The record is from RNAcentral. Lineage: Eukaryota; Viridiplantae; Streptophyta; Magnoliopsida; Malvales; Malvaceae.
UUGGGUUUGAUGGAAAAUAAAGACAAAAGUUUUGAUGAGUUGAGGUAAGGGAGGGAUUACGUGGUGAAAGGUGGGGGGGGGGAAUGCAUGAUUUUGAUUACAUUUGGCGCUACCGAUCUAACCUCGCAUGCAUGCUUGCAUGAAGAAUGAAAAAGGUAGGGGUUGUAGGGUUUUGCACUUGACACCUUGCAUGUUAUAUCUGGCAACCUCGAACAAGGGGAUUUUGCAGGGUUUUGGGGUUCCUUUUCUUUCUUUAUAUUAAAUGUUUGUAGUUUUAUAUCAUCUUUGACGCUUAUUUCCGUCCAGUUCGAGAGACAAAGCUAGUAGGCAAUUAAGCUUUUAAUUUUUUUUCUUUUCAAAAUCUAAUGUUUCAUCAUUGUAAUUUACACCUUUCUAGGAGACGUGACCAUGCAUUUCGGAUUUGAACUUUUGUAGAAUGGAGUAGUUAACAAUGCUGAACCCUUAAUUAAUUAAUGAAUUCUUU